UCACUUGCACUGUGAAGAUUAAAAUAGUUAAUUGAUUGCAGCUAGAACACAGCCUGCGCAUCAGUGCUCAGUGAAUGCUCCUAUUGUGGGGAUGAAUAUUAUUUAAGGGAUACAAAGAGAAGGCCAGGACUCUGUUUUCAUGCAUCUCACAGUCUAGGAGAGAUCAUUUCUGGCCAAGAGUUAAAGAAUGUUUCGGGAAUCACAGGAUAUGUGGCAUUUGAGCUGGAUCUGGAACGUGGGUGGGAUCUGGUGGGUGUAAAUGGAGAUGAAGCCCAGCUGCGGGGAAUCGAGGAGUCCUAGGGCUGGAGCUGGGGAAGGUGCGUGCAUCUGAGUGGCCGGAAAGUUGUCAGAAAGGCAGAUUCCCUGGGUUCACCCCCAGAGGGUCCCAUUCAGGUGUGGAAUGGGGCCAGGAACAUACAAUUCUAAGCAGUUCUUCAGGGGACCCUGGUGCAGGGGGUGUUCAGAUGAGAUUUGGGGGUUGCUUGCCAGGUUGGAGGAGGUAGAGUUAGGAAGCAUCAGGCUCAGAUGAGUCAAGGCCUCAUACGGUCUUGAAUCAGAGUGAAGGUGGGAAUGGGAACAGAAGUGCCAGAGAGAGAAAAUAGCUUCAACCCCCAAACUUAGGAUGAUUAUUCAGCCAUAAAAAGGAAUGAUGUAUUGAUACGUACUACAACACAGAUAAACCUUGUAAACAUUAUGCUAAGUGAAAAAGCCCAUCACAAAAGGCCAUAUAUUGUAUAAUUCAGUUUAUAAUAAACUAUCCAGAGCACGGAAAUCCAUAGAGACAGAAAGCUGAUUAGUGGUUGCCAGUGGGUGGGGGAAAGGAAAAUAGGGCAUGGCCAGUUAGUUAAUGAGAACCAUGUUUCUUUGGGGGAUGAUUAAAAUAUUCUGGAAGUAGGCCGGGAGUGGUGGUUCACACCUGUAAUCCCAGCACUUUGGGAGGCUGAAGUAGACAGAUCACUUGAGGCCAGGAGUUCAAGACCAGCCUGGCCAACAUGGUGAAACCCCGUCUCUACUAAAAAUACAAAAAUUAGCUAGGUGUGGUGGCAGGUGCCUAUAAUCCUGGCUACUUGGGAGGCUGAAGUGGGAGAAUCACUUGAAUCUGGGAAACAGAGGCUGUAAUGAACUGAGAUCAUGCCACUGCAUUCCAGCCUGAGUGACAGAGCGAGC
RNAcentral lists this long non-coding RNA (1167 nucleotides) under Macaca fascicularis (crab-eating macaque). RNAcentral describes it as "lncRNA (ENSMFAG00000063192.1)". Lineage: Eukaryota; Metazoa; Chordata; Mammalia; Primates; Cercopithecidae. The record is from RNAcentral.